GGACUACCGGGGUUUCUAAUCCCGUUUGCUCCCCUAGCUUUCGCGCCUCAGCGUCAGAAGAGGACCAGCAGCUCGCUUUCGCCACCGGAGUUCCUUCCGAUAUCAACGCAUUUCACCGCUCCACCGGAAGUUCCAGCUGCCCCUGCCUCCCUCCAGCCAAUCAGUAUCCAAGGCACUUUUCCGGUUAAGCCGAAAGAUUUCACCCCGGACUUGAUCGACCGCCUACGCGCCCUUUAAGCCCAGUGAUUCCGAACAACGUUCGCACGGUUCGUCUUACCGCGGCGGCUGGCAC
This 292-nucleotide ribosomal RNA is filed under the name uncultured bacterium. RNAcentral's name for it is "partial 16S ribosomal RNA". RNAcentral also lists the same sequence under 2 other names. The record is from RNAcentral.